AUUGAACGCUGGCGGAAUGCUUUACACAUGCAAGUCGAACGGCAGCACGGACUUCGGUCUGGUGGCGAGUGGCGAACGGGUGAGUAAUGUAUCGGAACGUGCCCAGUCGUGGGGGAUAACGUAGUGAAAAUUACGCUAAUACCGCAUACGAUCUAUGGAUGAAAGCGGGAGAUCGCAAGACCUCGCGCGAUUGGAGCGGCCGAUAUCAGGUUAGGUAGUUGGUGGGGUAAAGGCCCACCAAGCCAACGAUCUGUAGCUGGUCUGAGAGGACGACCAGCCACACUGGAACUGAGACACGGUCCAGACUCCUACGGGAGGCAGCAGUGGGGAAUUUUGGACAAUGGGCGAAAGCCUGAUCCAGCCAUUCCGCGUGCAGGAUGAAGGCCCUCGGGUUGUAAACUGCUUUUGUACAGAACGAAAAGGUUUCUACUAAUACUAGGAGCUCAUGACGGUACUGUAAGAAUAAGCACCGGCUAACUACGUGCCAGCCGCCGCUGUAA
This 500-nucleotide ribosomal RNA is filed under the name uncultured bacterium. RNAcentral's name for it is "partial 16S ribosomal RNA". It matches the Rfam family "Bacterial small subunit ribosomal RNA", at positions 30 to 523 of the family's 1533-position model. The record is from RNAcentral.